RNAcentral lists this ribosomal RNA (1415 nucleotides) under uncultured organism. Its description in RNAcentral is "16S ribosomal RNA". It matches the Rfam family "Bacterial small subunit ribosomal RNA". The record is from RNAcentral.
GGUGCGAGUACAGCGGCGAACGGGUGAGUAACGCGUAAGAAAUCUACCUCUAAGUCGGGGACAACCUUGCUAACGCGGGGCUAAUACCGGAUGUGGAUUGCUUUACUCAUGUUUUGCAAUCUAAAGAUGACCUCUACUUGUAAGUUGUUGCCUAGAGAUGAUCUUGCGGACCAUUAGUUUGUUGGUGGGGGGUAACGGCCUACCAAGACGAUGAUGGUUAGCCGGCCUGAGAGGGUGAGCGGCCACAUUGGGACUGAGAUACGGCCCAGACUCCUACGGGAGGCAGCAGUAGGGAAUUUUGCGCAAUGGACGAAAGUCUGACGCAGCAACGCCGCGUGAGGGAUGAAAGUCUUCGGAUUGUAAACCUCUGUUGAGUAGGACGAAAAGCCAGUCGGUUAAUAUCCGGCAGGUCUGACGGUACUGCUCGAGGAAGCCCCGGCUAAAUACGUGCCAGCAGCCGUGGUAAUACGUAUGGGGCAAGCGUUGUUCGGAAUCACUGGGCGUAAAGGGAGCGCAUGCGGAAAGGUAAGUUAGAGGUGUAGUCUUCGGGCUCAACCCGGAGUUUGCCUUUAAUACUGCUUUACUUGAGUAUUGGAGAGGAAGACGGAAUUCCAGGUGUAGCGGUGGAAUGCGUAGAUAUCUGGAAGAACACCAGUAGCGAAGGCGGUUUUCUGGCCAAAUACUGACGCUGAGGCUCGAAAGCGUGGGGAGCGAACAGGAUUAGAUACCCUGGUAGUCCACGCCGUAAACGAUGGACACUAGAUGUUGGGGGCUUAUGCCUUCAGUGUCGUAGCUAACGCGUUAAGUGUCCCGCCUGGGGAGUACGCUCGCAAGGGUGAAACUCAAAGGAAUUGACGGGGGCCCGCACAAGCGGUGGAGCAUGUGCUUUAAUUCGAUGCAACGCGAAGAACCUUACCUGGACUUGACAUGUGAGUGUAACAUUUUAGAGAUAGAAUGCCUUCCUUCGGGAACACUCAACACAGGUGCUGCAUGGUUGUCGUCAGCUCGUGUCGUGAGAUGUUGGGUUAAGUCCCGCAACGAGCGCAACCCUCGUCCUUAGUUGCCAUCAGGUAAUGCUGGGAACUCUAAGGAGACUGCCUGGUAUAACCAGGAGGAAGGUGGGGAUGACGUCAAAUCCUCAUGGCCCUUACGUCCAGGGCUAGACACGUGCUACAAUGGCCGGUACAGAAGGAUGCUAAGUCGCGAGGCUGAGCUAAUCCAUGAAAACCGGUCUCAGUUCGGAUAGGAGUCUGCAAUUCGACUCCUUGAAGUUGGAAUCGCUAGUAAUCGCGGAUCAGCAUGCCGCGGUGAUAUGUUCCCGGGCCUUGUACACACCGCCCGUCAAGCCACGAAAGAUGGCAGUGCCCAAAGUCGUUUCUCUAACCUUCGGGAGGAGAGCGCCUAAGGUAAGGCUG